RNAcentral lists this ribosomal RNA (387 nucleotides) under Ochromonas tuberculata. RNAcentral describes it as "partial small subunit ribosomal RNA". It matches the Rfam family "Eukaryotic small subunit ribosomal RNA", at positions 30 to 432 of the family's 1831-position model. The record is from RNAcentral. Lineage: Eukaryota; Chrysophyceae; Chromulinales; Chromulinaceae.
GCUUGUCUCAAAGAUUAAGCCAUGCAUGUCUAAGUAUAAACUGCUUAUACUGUGAAACUGCGAAUGGCUCAUUAAAUCAGUUAUAGUUUAUUUGAUGGUACUUUCUACUCGGAAUAACCGUAGUAAUUCUAGAGCUAAUACGUGCGUAAAUCCCGACUUCUGGAAGGGACGUAUUUAUUAGAUGGAAACCAAUGCGGGGCAACCCGGAAUAUGGUGAUUCAUAAUAACUUUCGGAUCGUUUACGAUGCAUCAUUCAAGUUUCUGCCCUAUCAGCUUUGGAUGGUAGGGUAUUGGCCUACCAUGGCUUUAACGGGUAACGGAGAAUUAGGGUUCGAUUCCGGAGAGGGAGCCUGAGAAAUGGCUACCACAUCCAAGGAAGGCAGCAGG